AUUGAACGCUGGCGGCAGGCCUAACACAUGCAAGUCGAACGAGCGGCGGACGGGUGAGUAAUGUCUGGGAAUCUGCCCGAUGGAGGGGGAUAACUACUGGAAACGGUGGCUAAUACCGCAUACUAUCAGAUGUGCCCAUAUGGGAUUAGCUAGUUGGUGGGGUAACGGCUCACCAAGGCGACGAUCCCUAGCUGGUCUGAGAGGAUGACCAGCCACACUGGGACUGAGACACGGUCAAGACUCCUACGGGAGGCAGCAGUGGGGAAUAUUGCACAAUGGGCGCAAGCCUGAUGCAGCCAUGCCGCGUGUAUGAAGAAGGCCUUAGGGUUGUAAAGUACUUUCAGCGGGGAGGCGUUACCCGCAGAAGAAGCACCGGCUAACUCCGUGCCAGCAGCCGCGGUAAUUC
This 406-nucleotide ribosomal RNA is filed under the name uncultured bacterium. RNAcentral's name for it is "partial 16S ribosomal RNA". It matches the Rfam family "Bacterial small subunit ribosomal RNA", at positions 30 to 526 of the family's 1533-position model. The record is from RNAcentral.